GGUCUCCCCCUGUCUAAAAUAGCCAGUUCUUCUUGUCCAGCGCUUCCAAUAAAAUUGCACAUAAUUGGGUUACGUCAUUCCAGUUUGAACAUGGAGCAAACGGAACAAACAACGGAUGAAGAAAUCUGCCCGCUGCGGACAACCUUGGGCCUGGUAGCAUAUCGCAUUCCAUCUUACAACGGUGGCGAUUGCUACUGUCUAAGUGUGAGAUCAUCAUUCACAAAGCCGGCUUCAGACAGUCAUUCAUGCUCCGAAGCAGCACUGACCAGACCUGGCAAGUGAGGGAACGGGAAACAACACUGGCCUGGAUCAGGAUGAGUGAACGUCAGUGGAUUUAACCUGUUCGGAUCAUGAUAUCUACAGUUCUUAGCUACUCAGAUUCAGGCAGGUGUAAGUGUCAGAUGGAAUUCUUUGAGUCUGAAUUCUGUUCUUGGUAAUAUGGAGUUUUAGUGCAUAUGAUUCUGACCAAAAUCAGGAUGAGCGUGUGUCGGUGGACAUAAUUAGGUAUGUACCUAAAUUAGAAAGAAAGCGAGUCAGUGCACAUGGGUUUAUACCCUUAUUCAGUUAGGAGAAAUAGCCGUUGGAAAUCGCAGCCCCCAAGCUCCAUGUACUCUGUGGGUCCACCUGGCAUUGUAUUGGUUGUCACAGACAGAUUUUAUUAACAACUGAGUUCUUGCUUAGGCUACUAGUGAUUUCUGAGGAUUCAAUGAACAGUUCAGCAGUGCGGACAGCUGAGGAAAUAUUGGUGUGAGCUUGUGCUUCGUACACUCGUACCUGGACCUGAGGGUUGUGGGUCUGCAUUUAUGUAGGAUAUUUCUAUUUAACUUUGAGCAGAUAUUUCUAUUUAACUUUGACCAAGGCAUUGUUACAGAAGCUGCAAUUACAUGCUCCAAAUUGUAAAUCAGAUGACAUUUAAAAUAGAGCAUUUAGCAUGGCAAAUAAAUACUGUAAUUCAGCACAAAAGUACAGCAAAAUUACCCAAUAAAACACAAACAAAUCUUAAUAAUAAUGCUUAACUCAGAUGAACUACUCUUACGCUUCACUUUUGGUAUUUAACAAGUGUGAGCAUGCCUUCAUUGUUUGGCCAUUGCAGUGAAUCUUAAUAGCAUGAUUUUGGAAGGCAAUUGUGAUGCAAUGGGAGCCACCUGUGAUGCAAAGUUAGCCAAGUGUGAUGUAAAUGUAGCCAACUAUGAUGCAAUGGAGGCCACCUGUGAUGUGAUGGGAGCCAAAGUUUAUGUAAUGGGAGCCACCUGCAAUGUGAUGGAAGACACCUGUGAUGUCGUGGGAACCAUCUGUGAUGCAAUAGAAGCUAAUUGUGAUGCAAGAGGUUUUGUGGUAUUCCCGGCAGUCCGAAGUGAUCUGACUUUGUCAGGCUUAUAAAUUAUAAGGGCAAAGACGUGGUUUUCAUCUGCUUGCUAGCAUUUUCCCCAGAGACACAGGAGGUGGAUCAAUAUUGGGGUCCCUGCCUUUGUAAUAAAUAAAUAAAUAAAUGAAAUGUUGGAA
Long non-coding RNA from Anguilla rostrata (American eel), 1503 nucleotides. RefSeq lists it as uncharacterized. NCBI's taxonomy places the organism in Eukaryota, Metazoa, Chordata, Actinopteri, Anguilliformes, Anguillidae. The record is from RefSeq and is a predicted model, not a curated record. The transcript has 3 exons.